This 252-nucleotide ribosomal RNA is filed under the name uncultured bacterium. RNAcentral describes it as "partial 16S ribosomal RNA". It matches the Rfam family "Bacterial small subunit ribosomal RNA", at positions 524 to 776 of the family's 1533-position model. The record is from RNAcentral.
UACGGAGGAUGCGAGCGUUAUCCGGAUUUAUUGGGUUUAAAGGGUGCGUAGGCGGGCUUUUAAGUCAGCGGUAAAAAUUCGGGGCUCAACCCCGUUCGGCCGUUGAAACUGGGGGCCUUGAGUGGGCGAGAAGAAGGCGGAAUGCGUGGUGUAGCGGUGAAAUGCAUAGAUAUCACGCAGAACCCCGAUUGCGAAGGCAGCCUUCCGGCGCCCUACUGACGCUGAGGCACGAAAGUGCGGGGAUCGAACAGG